This 218-nucleotide long non-coding RNA is filed under the name Mytilus galloprovincialis (Mediterranean mussel). The record is from RNAcentral. Lineage: Eukaryota; Metazoa; Mollusca; Bivalvia; Mytilida; Mytilidae.
CUUAAGGUCAGAAGACUUGCUAUGAAGAAUGGAACUCAGAGUACAAUGGUUAUCUAAUGACUGAUCAUUCAACUAAUUAUAGCAGGGACUACGCAUGUAUUGACAGAGAUGCAGAACCAUUAGACAAUAAGAGUGAAGAUGAACGUGGUGCUUAUUUUUAUACACUUCGAACCAGAUGUAGUACUUUGAGAUGUCCUCCAUAUACCAAUAAAGUGAAU